GACACUAAGUCCAUACUAUCACAUAAAAUCCAAAAAUAAUAUACAGCUUACAUUGAUCACAUAAAGUACGAAAUUUAAAAUAUAUUACCUUGAGAUAUACCUAUUCUCUAAACAUAUUUAAAAUAUUAAGUCAUUCAAUAACAAAAAAAUAAAAACCAAAACUGUAACCAAAAUUAUAGCUAUCUAAACUAGAAUCAAGAUAUAAAAUGCCAAAUCCAUAUUCAGAGCCACGCAUUCGAAUUGAACUCAAAAUAUUAUCGGUUUCUAAUAUUGUUAUUUGAACCAAAGCAAAAUAACAAAACCGAAACCAAGCAAAUUCAUAAAUAAUCGAACAAUUACUAUAUUUCCUGAACCGAAAACCAAAACUCACAGCUGAAUUAACCAAACCAAAAAUUAAAAAUACAAUUUGGACGCAAACCGAAAUUUAU
This 428-nucleotide long non-coding RNA is filed under the name Brassica napus (rape). RNAcentral's name for it is "long non-coding RNA (BNAP_LNC023840)". The record is from RNAcentral. Lineage: Eukaryota; Viridiplantae; Streptophyta; Magnoliopsida; Brassicales; Brassicaceae.